CGGAACGGGUGAGCAACGCGUGAGGAACCUGCCUCAAAGAGGGGGACAACAGUUGGAAACGACUGCUAAUACCGCAUAAGCCCACGGCUCGGCAUCGAGCAGAGGGAAAAGGAGCAAUCCGCUUUGAGAUGGCCUCGCGUCCGAUUAGCUAGUUGGUGAGGUAACGGCCCACCAAGGCGACGACCGGUAGCCGGACUGGGAGGUUGAACGGCCACAUUGGGACUGAGACACGGCCCAG
Molecule: ribosomal RNA, 238 nt
Filed under: uncultured bacterium
Lineage: Bacteria
Description: partial 16S ribosomal RNA
Rfam family: Bacterial small subunit ribosomal RNA
Source: RNAcentral